This 285-nucleotide ribosomal RNA is filed under the name Staphylococcus pasteuri. Its description in RNAcentral is "partial 16S ribosomal RNA". It matches the Rfam family "Bacterial small subunit ribosomal RNA", at positions 1086 to 1372 of the family's 1533-position model. Lineage: Bacteria; Bacillati; Bacillota; Bacilli; Caryophanales; Staphylococcaceae. The record is from RNAcentral.
CCCGCAACGAGCGCAACCCUUAAGCUUAGUUGCCAUCAUUAAGUUGGGCACUCUAAGUUGACUGCCGGUGACAAACCGGAGGAAGGUGGGGAUGACGUCAAAUCAUCAUGCCCCUUAUGAUUUGGGCUACACACGUGCUACAAUGGACAAUACAAAGGGCAGCUAAACCGCGAGGUCAAGCAAAUCCCAUAAAGUUGUUCUCAGUUCGGAUUGUAGUCUGCAACUCGACUACAUGAAGCUGGAAUCGCUAGUAAUCGUAGAUCAGCAUGCUACGGUGAAUACGUU